This 114-nucleotide ribosomal RNA is filed under the name Sulfurisoma sediminicola. The record is from RNAcentral. Lineage: Bacteria; Pseudomonadati; Pseudomonadota; Betaproteobacteria; Nitrosomonadales; Sterolibacteriaceae. RNAcentral also lists the same sequence under 3 other names.
UCUGGUGCCCAUAGCGAGGCGGAACCACCCCUUCCCUUCCCGAACAGGACCGUGAAACACCUCCGCGCCAAUGAUAGUCGGUUAACCUCCGGCGAAAGUAGGUCAGCACCAGAC